GGGAAUGUAGCUCAGUGGUAGAGCACUUAGCUAGCAUGUUAGAGAGCCUGGGCUCAAUCCCCAGUACCCA
Molecule: transfer RNA, 70 nt
Filed under: Heterocephalus glaber (naked mole-rat)
Lineage: Eukaryota; Metazoa; Chordata; Mammalia; Rodentia; Bathyergidae
Rfam family: tRNA
About the family: Transfer RNA (tRNA) molecules are approximately 80 nucleotides in length.
Source: Rfam by way of RNAcentral